UGGGGAAUUUUGGACAAUGGGCGAAAAGCCUGAUCCAGCAAUGCCGCGUGUGUGAAGAAGGCCUUCGGGUUGUAAAGCACUUUUGUCCGGAAAGAAAAUCCUUGGCUCUAAUACAGUCGGGGGAUGACGGUACCGGAAGAAUAAGCACCGGCUAACUACGUGCCAGCAGCCGCGGUAAUACGUAGGGUGCAAGCGUUAAUCGGAAUUACUGGGCGUAAAGCGUGCGCAGGCGGUUUGCUAAGACCGAUGUGAAAAUCCCCGGGCUCAACCUGGGAACUGCAUUGGUGANUGGCAGGCUAGAGUAUGGCAGAGGGGGGUAGAAUUCCACGUGUAGCAGUGAAAUGCGUAGAGAUGUGGAGGAAUACCGAUGGCGAAGGCAGCCCCGGCCAAGUAACUGACGCUCAUGCACGAAAAGCGUGGGGAGCAAAACAGGAUUAGAUACCCUGGUAGUCCACGCCCUAAAACGAUGUCAACUAGUUGUUGGGGAUUCAUUUCCUUAGUAACGUAGCUAAACGCGUGAAAGUUGACCGCCUGGGGAGUACGGUCGCAAAGAUUAAAAACUC
Molecule: ribosomal RNA, 563 nt
Filed under: uncultured bacterium
Lineage: Bacteria
Description: partial 16S ribosomal RNA
Rfam family: Bacterial small subunit ribosomal RNA
Source: RNAcentral